Molecule: ribosomal RNA, 402 nt
Filed under: uncultured bacterium
Lineage: Bacteria
Description: bacterial SSU rRNA
Rfam family: Bacterial small subunit ribosomal RNA
Source: RNAcentral
UGGGGAAUAUUGCACAAUGGGCGAAAGCCUGAUGCAGCAACGCCGCGUGAGUGAUGAAGGCCUUCGGGUUGUAAAGCUCUGUCUUCUGGGACGAUAAUGACGGUACCAGAGGAGGAAGCCACGGCUAACUACGUGCCAGCAGCCGCGGUAAUACGUAGGUGGCAAGCGUUGUCCGGAUUUACUGGGCGUAAAGGAUGCGUAGGCGGACCGAUAAGUCGGGGGUUAAAUCCAUGUGCUUAACACAUGCACGGCUUCCGAUACUGUCGGUCUAGAGUCUCGAAGAGGAAGGUGGAAUUUCCGGUGUAACGGUGGAAUGCGUAGAUAUCGGAAAGAACACCAGUGGCGAAGGCAGCCUUCUGGUCGAGAACUGACGCUCAUGCACGAAAGCGUGGGGAGCAAACA